RNAcentral lists this ribosomal RNA (1019 nucleotides) under Alternaria arborescens. RNAcentral describes it as "SSU rRNA". It matches the Rfam family "Eukaryotic small subunit ribosomal RNA", at positions 75 to 1103 of the family's 1831-position model. Lineage: Eukaryota; Fungi; Ascomycota; Dothideomycetes; Pleosporales; Pleosporaceae. The record is from RNAcentral.
UAUACCGUGAAACUGCGAAUGGCUCAUUAAAUCAGUUAUCGUUUAUUUGAUAAUACCUUACUACUUGGAUAACCGUGGUAAUUCUAGAGCUAAUACAUGCUGAAAAUCCCGACUUCGGAAGGGAUGUGUUUAUUAGAUAAAAAACCAAUGCCCUUCGGGGCUUUUUGGUGAUUCAUGAUAACUUUACGGAUCGCAUAGCCUUGCGCUGGCGACGGUUCAUUCAAAUUUCUGCCCUAUCAACUUUCGAUGGUAAGGUAUUGGCUUACCAUGGUUUCAACGGGUAACGGGGAAUUAGGGUUCGAUUCCGGAGAGGGAGCCUGAGAAACGGCUACCACAUCCAAGGAAGGCAGCAGGCGCGCAAAUUACCCAAUCCCGACACGGGGAGGUAGUGACAAUAAAUACUGAUACAGGGCUCUUUUGGGUCUUGUAAUUGGAAUGAGUACAAUUUAAACCUCUUAACGAGGAACAAUUGGAGGGCAAGUCUGGUGCCAGCAGCCGCGGUAAUUCCAGCUCCAAUAGCGUAUAUUAAAGUUGUUGCAGUUAAAAAGCUCGUAGUUGAAACUUGGGCCUGGCUGGCGGGUCCGCCUCACCGCGUGCACUCGUCCGGCCGGGCCUUCCUUCUGAAGAACCUCAUGCCCUUCACUGGGCGUGCUGGGGAAUCAGGACUUUUACUUUGAAAAAAUUAGAGUGUUCAAAGCAGGCCUUUGCUCGAAUACGUUAGCAUGGAAUAAUAAAAUAGGGCGUGCGUUUCUAUUUUGUUGGUUUCUAGAGACGCCGCAAUGAUUAACAGGAACAGUCGGGGGCAUCAGUAUUCAGUUGUCAGAGGUGAAAUUCUUGGAUUUACUGAAGACUAACUACUGCGAAAGCAUUUGCCAAGGAUGUUUUCAUUAAUCAGUGAACGAAAGUUAGGGGAUCGAAGACGAUCAGAUACCGUCGUAGUCUUAACCGUAAACUAUGCCGACUAGGGAUCGGGCGAUGUUCUUUUUCUGACUCGCUCGGCACCUUACGAGAAAUCAAAG